Small nuclear RNA from Chrysemys picta bellii (western painted turtle), 125 nucleotides. NCBI's taxonomy places the organism in Eukaryota, Metazoa, Chordata, Testudines, Emydidae. The record is from Ensembl.
GUGUUGUAUGAAAGGAGAGGCUAGCACUCCCCUUGAGAAGGAUGGAAGAGGUCCUAGUGACCUUUUCAACACACAUAUGGUUAAGGUAUUGCCACUUACUUGGUGGCAUCUAUUCAAGGUAUUUG